This 468-nucleotide ribosomal RNA is filed under the name uncultured bacterium. RNAcentral's name for it is "partial 16S ribosomal RNA". It matches the Rfam family "Bacterial small subunit ribosomal RNA", at positions 28 to 507 of the family's 1533-position model. The record is from RNAcentral.
GACGAACGCUGGCGGCGUGCUUAACACAUGCAAGUCGAACGGAAAGGCCCUGCUUUUGUGGGGUGCUCGAGUGGCGAACGGGUGAGUAACACGUGAGUAACCUGCCCUUGACUUUGGGAUAACUUCAGGAAACUGGGGCUAAUACCGGAUAGGAGCUCCUGCUGCAUGGUGGGGGUUGGAAAGUUUCGGCGGUUGGGGAUGGACUCGCGGCUUAUCAGCUUGUUGGUGGGGUAGUGGCUUACCAAGGCUUUGACGGGUAGCCGGCCUGAGAGGGUGACCGGCCACAUGAGGACUAAGAUAGGGCCCAGCCGCCAACGGGAGGCAGUGGGGGGAAGUAUGGCACAGUGGGCGGAAGCGUGAGACGGAAGCCCCGCGUGCGGAAUGACGGCCUUCGGGUGAAAAACCGCUGUCGCCUGUGACAAAGCGUUAUUGACGGUAAUGGGUAAAAAAGCACCGGCUAACUACGUG